AUGACAUUAAUAACUGAAUAAUAAAAUAGAACAAAGCUAAAUCUACGUUUAUGCUAACUGAACAUUUGAGAUAGAAACAAAAUCCAAGAAAAACUCCAAAUUAAAGUGCUCCAUAUCCCUGAAUAUUUUACUAACAUAUCUCAUAACCAUUGCAACUAGAAGAUAAUAAACUAAUUCUAUCUUUUUUAACUUGGCAAUCUCUAAGAAAACUAGUGAAACAGUUAAGUACUAACAAAAAAUUAAAUGAUCCAAUACUCACUACUUAUAUACUAGACUACUACUUAUAGUCAAUGUUAACUUUAGUAACAAAUGGUAUUCAACUAAGAAAAGUUUACUUGCACGUACUAUCUAUGGCAUCAACAUCUAAAUUUAAAAAAGAAAAAAAAAACUAAGGAAAGAACUAAACUACAAAUAGAGAUCCUAAAUAAGAUAAAGAUCACACUAAACGUUACCAAUUUACAAAUACAUAUAAAAUAAGAAGACUGAAAAGACAAAAUAGAGGAUAUGAACCUUUGUAGAAGCUUUCAAUAACAUGAUCCGUGAAUCACAAGAAAUUGAUAAAGAACAGCAAUUGUAGCGCGAACCCAAAACUCGAAAAUAAACCUCUAUUCAAACAAUCUCCAUGCUUUCUACGUGAGCCAUCUCUUUGAAAAUAUAAAACUUUUCCUUUAGAAGAACUUCUGUUUUCUCUCAAAAAAAAAAAAAUUUUGGCUUUCUGUUUUUCCAGUUUCGUUCUCCUCUUCUCUUACGUUCAUUCUUUUCUUUUUUGUCUUUUCACUUUCUCAUUCGUUUUCUCUCUUUUGUUUUGCUUUCGUCCCUUU
RNAcentral lists this long non-coding RNA (821 nucleotides) under Nicotiana benthamiana. RNAcentral's name for it is "long non-coding RNA (NBEN_LNC025604)". The record is from RNAcentral. Lineage: Eukaryota; Viridiplantae; Streptophyta; Magnoliopsida; Solanales; Solanaceae.